Molecule: ribosomal RNA, 231 nt
Filed under: Triticum aestivum (bread wheat)
Lineage: Eukaryota; Viridiplantae; Streptophyta; Magnoliopsida; Poales; Poaceae
Description: partial small subunit ribosomal RNA
Source: RNAcentral
AUGGAGCCACAUAUCUUUAGAGCAUUGACACCAUAUCUUAGAAGGGGAAAUUUGAUGAAGGACACAAUAAUAAAGGUGGAGGAGAAGUUAGGAUUUUUCCUUUACAUGUCGUCUCACAACGCGUCUUUUGAAGAUCUACAACUAGAAUACCAACAUAGUGGGUGGACCUUCCAUGAAUACAUCAAGUCUUUCUUCGACAUCAUCCCCACUCUAUCUUCUCGAUUUUUGUAG